GUGGGGAAUCUUGCGCAAUGGGCGAAAGCCUGACGCAGCGACGCCGCGUGGGGGAUGAAGGCCCUCGGGUUGUAAACCCCUUUCGGCAGGGACGAAGCGGUUCCGUGACGGUACCUGCAGAAGAAGCCUCGGCUAACUACGUGCCAGCAGCCGCGGUAAGACGUAGGAGGCGAGCGUUGUCCGGAUUCAUUGGGCGUAAAGAGCACGCAGGCGGUUUGGCAAGUCGGAUGUGAAAACCCGGAGCUCAACUCCGGGCCUGCAUCCGAAACUGCCCGACUAGAGGUAGGUAGGGGAGAUCGGAAUUCCUGGUGUAGCGGUGAAAUGCGCAGAUAUCAGGAGGAACACCGGUGGCGAAGGCGGAUCUCUGGGCCUUACCUGACGCUCAGGUGCGAAAGCUAGGGGAGCGAACAGGAUUAGAUACCCUUGUAGUCC
Molecule: ribosomal RNA, 432 nt
Filed under: uncultured bacterium
Lineage: Bacteria
Description: bacterial SSU rRNA
Rfam family: Bacterial small subunit ribosomal RNA
Source: RNAcentral